AUGCAGGAAUCAUGCCACUGACUCUGAAGCCAUGGCUUUUACAUUAAGGUCUGCCAUCCCUGCCACAGUCCAUGAAUCCUUUAUCAUCUACAAGGAAGAUGAUUCACUUUGAAAAGCUUUUUCUGAUAGAGACCAGUGUGCUGUAUCAUCUUUGGAGAAAUGCCUAUUUAUUUAGAUAUUUAGAUGUGUUAUUCAGUUCAGAUGCUUAAGCUGCCAUACACAUUGAGGUGGGAGAGAGAAAUGAGUCAGCAGCCCGGAUGGAGAUCUCCAAGAGUCUGUAUGUGCUAAACACCAGGAUCUCACACUCUUCAAGAAGGCCACAAUUUUAGGAUCUUAAGGGACCAACAGAUGUAUGUGACCACCUGCUGCAGACGAAGGAAUAGUGCAAAUUAUUGCUUAAUCUUCAGGACAAUUUUGGAUACAGCAUGCAGAUUUUUCCUUCAGAGCAGGCCUUGAAAAUAAAGAGCCCACAUCACCCUCCAUGCUUUAUUUCCCAUCAAGUGCAUGAAGAAAAUUUUCUGACUAUGGGAUAUUGGUAAGUGAACAGAUCUAUGCAUACAUCAGUAUGCCAUUAGGACUCAAUGUAUCUGUAGCUUAAUGAAAGAAAUAUGUUUUACACAAAUAUGUGACCAUUCUAGUCUCAGAUUCUUGGACAUUUUAUCGGUGUGGGAUAUUUCUUCAAUCCAGUAGUGUUAAUCAUAAUUUAAAAGUAGUUGGUUUAUACUGCCAUUAUAGUUAAGCCACUCUGUCAGCAAGAUGUCUGAAGACUGCCCACUAUAUUUUAAUUUAGGAAGUGUAGGUAAAGAUGGUGAGAAUUUUUGUUCAUUCUAUACAUUUGAAGAUAGAGGUUUCUGUCCCUGCCAGGUUCCACAGCAGCAUUGAACCAAAUAAACACAGAAAGACUUAUAUUAAGUAGAAGACAUGUGGCCUCAGGCUCAAGCUUCUUGUUUCCUAGCUCUGCCUUAAUUGUUAACCCAUUUCUAUUAUUCUGUGCAUUACCACAGCCUGUGGCUUACCCAUAAUAUGUCAUGUUAACUCCUUCAGCUGCAUGGUGUCUGUUAGAAACCUCUCUCUGCCUUCCUCUCUCUCCAGGAUCUCCUGAUAUCUUACCCCUGACUAUGCUUCAUGCCUGGCUGCUGGCCAAUCAUUUUUAAUUGUAUAAAAGAAUGUAUAAAAGAAACAUAUGUACCGAAGGACAUCCCCUAUCAAACUUUCAUCAUAUGUAGUUAAUUGGACAGAAUUUUCUGAGUGCCAGAUGUAUUUAUGUUCUAUGGUAAAACAAUUAAGGAGGAUAUUCAAAGAUAAGUUCUUCUAAUUGCAUUGGCUAGUAUAACCAUGUUUGGAUAUAUUCUGAGACUAUAGGAAACCCAAUAGCCAACAAGUAAAUCAAAUAA
Non-coding RNA from Cricetulus griseus (Chinese hamster), 1394 nucleotides. NCBI's taxonomy places the organism in Eukaryota, Metazoa, Chordata, Mammalia, Rodentia, Cricetidae. The record is from RefSeq and is a predicted model, not a curated record.